UGGGGAAUAUUGCACAAUGGGCGCAAGCCUGAUGCAGCAACGCCGCGUGAACGAUGAAGGUCUUCGGAUCGUAAAGUUCUGUUGCAGGGGAAGAUAAUGACGGUACCCUGUGAGGAAGCCCCGGCUAACUACGUGCCAGCAGCUGCGGUAAUACGUAGGGGGCUAGCGUUAUCCGGAUUUACUGGGCGUAAAGGGUGCGUAGGUGGUCUUUCAAGUCGGUGGUUAAAGGCUACGGCUCAACCGUAGUUAGCCGCCGAAACUGGAAGACUUGAGUGCAGGAGAGGAAAGAGAAAUUCCCAGUGAAGCGGUGAAAUGCGUAGAUAUUGGGAGGAACACGAGUAGCGAGGGAGGAUUUCUGGACUGCAACUGACAAUGAAGCACGAAAGCGUGGGUAGCAAACAGG
Molecule: ribosomal RNA, 403 nt
Filed under: Verrucomicrobiota bacterium
Lineage: Bacteria; Pseudomonadati; Verrucomicrobiota
Description: Verrucomicrobia bacterium partial 16S ribosomal RNA
Rfam family: Bacterial small subunit ribosomal RNA
Source: RNAcentral